RNAcentral lists this ribosomal RNA (483 nucleotides) under uncultured bacterium. RNAcentral describes it as "partial 16S ribosomal RNA". It matches the Rfam family "Bacterial small subunit ribosomal RNA", at positions 30 to 506 of the family's 1533-position model. The record is from RNAcentral.
AUUGAACGCUGGCGGCAGGCCUAACACAUGCAAGUCGAGCGGAUGAAGGGAGCUUGCUCCUGGAUUCAGCGGCGGACGGGUGAGUAAUGCCUAGGAAUCUGCCUGGUAGUGGGGGAUAACGUCCGGAAACGGGCGCUAAUACCGCAUACGUCCUGAGGGAGAAAGUGGGGGAUCUUCGGACCUCACGCUAUCAGAUGAGCCUAGGUCGGAUUAGCUAGUUGGUGGGGUAAAGGCCUACCAAGGCGACGAUCCGUAACUGGUCUGAGAGGAUGAUCAGUCACACUGGAACUGAGACACGGUCCAGACUCCUACGGGAGGCAGCAGUGGGGAAUAUUGGACAAUGGGCGAAAGCCUGAUCCAGCCAUGCCGCGUGUGUGAAGAAGGUCUUCGGAUUGUAAAGCACUUUAAGGUGGGAGGAAGGGCAGUAAGUUAAGACCUUGCUGUUUGGACGUUACCAACAGAAUAAGCACCGGCUAACUUCGU